CUCGCGGGCACGUAUAGCAUAAGCUCUAGCAGGCGCACGAGCCUCGAAUCUGGUCGUAGCAUCUCUAGAUCCUCUCUGACCACCACUAGCAUUGCCCGUAUUUCCAGAUGGUCUACCUCGAGCAGUGGUAGCACCCGGUUUCCCACUCUGAUUUACAUUCUGUUCAGACAACCUCGGGUAAUCUUUAAUGAAGUGGUCAACUGAUCCGCACUUGUAACAGGAGCGGUCAGGGAAUCUACAAC
This 242-nucleotide long non-coding RNA is filed under the name Gossypium barbadense (sea-island cotton). RNAcentral describes it as "long non-coding RNA (GBAR_LNC022325)". The record is from RNAcentral. Lineage: Eukaryota; Viridiplantae; Streptophyta; Magnoliopsida; Malvales; Malvaceae.